AGAGUUAUAAUUUAUAAAAAAUAUUUAGCUUGCAACUAAAAAAACGAAAGUUUACUCUA
RNAcentral lists this transfer RNA (59 nucleotides) under Pseudoniphargus unisexualis. Its description in RNAcentral is "tRNA-Ala". Lineage: Eukaryota; Metazoa; Arthropoda; Malacostraca; Amphipoda; Allocrangonyctidae. The record is from RNAcentral.